AGAAAGAAGCAUGAGUGGUUUAGUGCGAUUGGCUUGAAACCAAUAUUUGAGGGUUCGAUUCCUUCCUUUCU
Molecule: non-coding RNA, 71 nt
Organism: Leptosomus discolor (cuckoo roller)
Lineage: Eukaryota; Metazoa; Chordata; Aves; Leptosomiformes; Leptosomidae
Source: Rfam